RNAcentral lists this ribosomal RNA (322 nucleotides) under uncultured eukaryote. RNAcentral describes it as "partial 18S ribosomal RNA". It matches the Rfam family "Eukaryotic small subunit ribosomal RNA", at positions 1470 to 1796 of the family's 1831-position model. The record is from RNAcentral.
CCCUUAGAUGUUCUGGGCCGCACGCGUGCUACACUGAGUGGAUCAGCGGGUCAGGUUGCGCGAAAGUGUUUCCUAAUCUUUAAAUCCACUCGUGAUGGGGAUUGACGGUUGCAAUUUUCCGUCAUGAACGAGGAAUACCUUGUAAGCGCGGGUCAUCAUCCCGCGCUGAAUACGUCCCUGCCCUUUGUACACACCGCCCGUCGCUCCUACCGAUUGAGUGGUCCGGUGAGGCUUUGGGAUCUGGGCGGAAAGAGCGUUUCGCUGUUUCUGCCCGGAAAACUCAGUCGAACCUUAUCAUUUAGAGGAAGGAGAAGUCGUAACA